Molecule: long non-coding RNA, 1285 nt
Filed under: Capsicum annuum
Lineage: Eukaryota; Viridiplantae; Streptophyta; Magnoliopsida; Solanales; Solanaceae
Description: long non-coding RNA (CANN_LNC019397)
Source: RNAcentral
GGUGAUAAAAGGAAGAAAUCAAUUCUCUAAAUCAAUUAGAAAAAUUGUUUUCCUUCAAAUCUCUAAAUCAAUUAGGAAAAUUGUUCCUUGAAUAAAUAUGGAAAAUCAAUUAGCUUGCAAAAUCAUGUCAUGAUUACCAUAAGAGAAAAAAAUAAGAAUCUAUACAAAUAUAAUAUUGAGAUUUCUCCUAAAAUAAACAAGUACUUUAAAAGGCAAAUAACAUAUGAGUGGGCAGCACUAAUACCCGCCCAAAACAAAAGAAUAAAAGUAAAACGUCCCUUAAUCAAGGGAUUGCAAUUACGCACAAAAUCAAAGUUACCAAAUAUAAUCGCAUAAAAUCAGAAUUUAAGCUUGUCAAAUAUGGUCUAUCAUGAAGAUUAAUCUACCACAAGACUGUUAUAAUUUCAAAUUCACACAAAUUAAGUGUUUAAAAACCAAGAGAGUAGGGAAAAUCAUAAUUACGGCUAGAUUUGAUACUACCUUAGUGAUAAAUUCAUAACAACUACACACAAGAGAAUCGUAAUUUUAAAAUUUGUCAGAUCAGCAUUCAAACCAAAAAUUAAGCGAAUUUUAAAGUCUAUGAAUGUUAACAAGAGCAGAUCACCAAAAACUAAACCAAAAAUUUCAAUAACUCCAGUCAAUUUCAGACACCAGAAGUUUUCGACACAAAACAAAAGAAGAAUAAAGUAGAAAUACCAACUUGAGACGGAUUCAUAUGUGUGAACCCGUCAUGUUUUUAACAAUUUCUGGCGAGGAAUGGGUCGUGGAGGGAAAGAAAAACCUAAUCGAUGGCGGCAUGUGGACGCACGGAGAGCAUCAGCGGCGGCUGCAUGGUUAGCCGGAGGAGCCUGAGCUAGCCGAUCGUGGUGGCGGCUAUGGGGAUGGUCUCGCCGGACGCGUGGCUGGCGAGGCGGCUGCGGGGGUCGUCGUUGGUCUCCGGCGUUGGGAUAGGAGGCGGCAUACACGGCUGGGGACUGGACGUUGUUGUUUUCUGUUGGUGGCGCCGGUGGAGCAGCUAUCAACGAUGGCAGACCUCGCCGGAGCGGGAGAAAGGGGAGACGGCAGAUGCUCGUUGCUGUCCAGAGGCUGGCGGUGGUUUCGCCGGGGAAGGAGGAUGAGAGGGGAGAGGAGGAAAGAGAAGGGCGGGCGGUGGAGCGGCGGCAACAGCCGUCCCCCGGAGAGUAGCGGCUGCAGCAGCCGUCCCCCGGAGAGGAGCGGCGGCAGCAGCCGUCCCCCGGAGAGGAGAGAGAGGAGAGAAGAGAGAGAGCAGUUAGAGAGAGAGGGA